UACGUAGGGUGCAAGCGUUAAUCGGAAUUACUGGGCGUAAAGCGUGCGCAGGCGGUUUUGUAAGACAGGCGUGAAAUCCCGGGCUCACUGGAUGUCGCUGUGACUGCAAAGCUGGAGUGCGGGCGAGAGGGGGAUGGAAUUCCGCGUGUAGCAGUGAAAUGCGUAGAUAUGCGGAGGAACACCGAUGGCCGAAGGCAAUCCCUGGGCCUGCACUGACGCUCAU
RNAcentral lists this ribosomal RNA (223 nucleotides) under uncultured bacterium. RNAcentral describes it as "partial 16S ribosomal RNA". It matches the Rfam family "Bacterial small subunit ribosomal RNA", at positions 524 to 750 of the family's 1533-position model. The record is from RNAcentral.